AUGCGAGUCGAGAGGGGUUAAGCCCUCGGCGAACUGCUCAGUAACACGUGGGUAAUCUACCCUCAGGACAGGGAUAACCCCGGGAAACUGGGGAUAAUACCUGAUAGGUGAAGAUGUCUGGAACGAUUCUUCGCUCAAAGCUCCGGCGCCUGAGGAUGAGCCUGCGACCGAUUAGGUUGUUGGCGGUGUAACGGACCACCAAGCCUAAGAUCGGUACGGGUGUUGAGAGACAGAGCCCGGAGAUGGGGACUGAGACACGGCCCCAGGCCCUACGGGGCGCAGCAGGCGCGAAAACUCCGCAAUACACGAAAGUGUGACGGGGGAACCCCAAGUGCAUUCACAUUAGUGAGUGCUUUUGUGAAGUGUAAAUAGCUUUACGAAUAAAAGCGGGGUAAGACCGGUGCCAGCCGCCGCGGUAACACCGGCCGCUUGAGUGGUGAUCACUAUUAUUGGGCCUAAAGCGUCCGUAGCCGGUUUGGUAAGUCCUUGGGCAAAUCCUGUCGCCUAACGGCAGGAAUUCUAGGGAUACUGCUAGACUUGAGGUCGAGAGAGGUCGGAGGUACUCCUGGGGUAGCGGUGAAAUGCUAUAAUCCUGGGGGGACCACCAGUGGCGAAAGCGUCCGACCAGAGCGAGCCUGACGGUAAGGGACGAAAGCCAGGGGAGCGAACGGGAUUAGAUACCCCGGGUAGUCCUGCCGUAAACGCUGUGGGCUAGGUGUUGCAUG
Molecule: ribosomal RNA, 725 nt
Filed under: uncultured archaeon
Lineage: Archaea
Description: bacterial SSU rRNA
Rfam family: Archaeal small subunit ribosomal RNA
Source: RNAcentral